Molecule: unclassified non-coding RNA, 212 nt
Filed under: Hevea brasiliensis (rubber tree)
Lineage: Eukaryota; Viridiplantae; Streptophyta; Magnoliopsida; Malpighiales; Euphorbiaceae
Source: RNAcentral
GCAACACAUGUAUCUGCAACCACACUAACAGACACAAACAAACAAACAAAUGCAUUUAGGAAUAAUAUAUUUGGCGAAGCAGUAUAGCUACAGUACAAGUAUUAUUCAUACUACCACAUUCUUCUGCACUUCAUAAAAUUUUCAAGUCCGACUCUGUGACAUGCCAUAUGAUGCCAAUGUGGAUGUGUUGAUAUAUAUAUAUAUAUAUAGAG